Molecule: ribosomal RNA, 253 nt
Filed under: uncultured bacterium
Lineage: Bacteria
Description: partial 16S ribosomal RNA
Rfam family: Bacterial small subunit ribosomal RNA
Source: RNAcentral
UACAGAGGGUGCGAGCGUUAAUCGGAAUUACUAGGCGUAAAGCGUGCGCAGGCGGUUAUGCAAGACAGAUGUGAAAUCCCCGGGCUCAACCUGGGAACUGCAUUUGUGACUGCAUAGCUAGAGUACGGUAGAGGGGGAUGGAAUUCCGCGUGUAGCAGUGAAAUGCGUAGAUACGCGGAGGAACACCGAUGGCGAAGGCAAUCCCCUGGGCCUGCACUGACGCUCAUGCACGAAAGCGUGGGGAGCAAACAGG